ACCUACAUGGCGCAAUUGGUUAGCGUACUUCUCUGAUAAGGAAGCGGUUGAAGGUUCAAGUCCUUCUGUAGGUA
Molecule: transfer RNA, 74 nt
Filed under: Thomasclavelia spiroformis
Lineage: Bacteria; Bacillati; Bacillota; Erysipelotrichia; Erysipelotrichales; Coprobacillaceae
Also listed under: 2 other names
Description: [Clostridium] spiroforme tRNA-Ile
Rfam family: tRNA
About the family: Transfer RNA (tRNA) molecules are approximately 80 nucleotides in length. Their secondary structure includes four short double-helical elements and three loops (D, anti-codon, and T loops).
Source: RNAcentral